RNAcentral lists this ribosomal RNA (109 nucleotides) under Castor canadensis (American beaver). Lineage: Eukaryota; Metazoa; Chordata; Mammalia; Rodentia; Castoridae. The record is from RNAcentral.
GUCUAAAGCCAUACCACCCUGAACGCACCUGAUCUUGUCUGAUCUCGAAAGCUAAGCAGGGUCGGGCCUGGUUAGUACUUGGAUGGAAUAUAGAUCUUCAGAAGAGACU